AUGUGCUACAAAUCCAUCCUGGUGAUGAGGUCCAUCCCAGAAAUCCUGGAAAAGACCCACGACAACAGCUCCCUGGCCAUCUCCCGACACCUCAUUGAGGAAAGCACUUCAUCCAGCACCAGUGGCUCCUCUUCAGACAACGAAAACUCCAAUUUCCCCCAAAAGAGGCACUUUGGCUCCACCCCCGAGCUGCACUUGCCCGUAUUUGAUGCCCCGAGCCAUCCUGAGCCUCUGAAACAUGCAAGUGAACGGGAGCACCCCAAAGCCUCCAUCCCUCCAGUGAAACCCAUGAGGAGGAAAUAUGCCUCAGUGAAGGCUGAGGUGGGGGACAGAUCACCCACAGAAAGCAAAGAGCUCAUGACGAGUGUCUUACAGGAGAAAGAGGAGAGGCUCCUUCCCAGCCUUCAGGCAGAGACAUCCCAAAGAAGCUCUGCUGAGCCUUCAUCCCUGAGGGCUUCCACAGAAAGCACAUCACCUGUGAAAGAAAAACCAGGCACAUCUUCAUCUGAAAAGGACAGAACUGAAGAGGCAGGGGAUGGGACAGAAAAGCCAUCAGCCUUUGUUCCCAGGCAGAGUGUCAUCAAAAGCACUUUCUACAGCCAGGCAAGUGAGCUGCCUGCAAGGCCACCUUCCUCACCAGGAAGGGAGUUCAGGAGGCACCUGGACAGAGCCAGAAGGACUUUCCGAAAGGCUGGCUAUUCAAAGGUGCCCCUCAGUGGCCUCCGUGAGCCUCUCCUCGAGCAGUUUGAGCUGGAGGAAGAAGAAGAAGGAGAUGAUCGCAAAGAAAGUCUACUGGGAUCCUUGACCAAAUCGGCGUCCUUUGACACUGCCAGGAAGCCACCACACCCUGCCAUUGCUGGGGCCAGCCGCAGCCGGUCCCUGGAUGACUACAGGCUCAGAGCCUCCAGAUCCUUGAGGGAACAAGACAUUCUGGAGGAGGACUGUGAUGUGCUGUCCCAGGAAAGUUGCCCUGAAGGCAGCGAUCACUGUGAUGUUUCCGCAGGGCCCGGCAAGGGAUGUUCUGCAGACACAGCAGAGCAAGGGGUCAUCGGGAGAGACAGCAAGGAUUGCUCAGGAGAGAAGUCCUCUCCCUCCACACACUGUGAGGGGAAUGGGUGCCCACCUGCUCUUGUCCAACAGGUAGAGGGACUCCCAGUGUCACCCCACAGGAGUGAGAAUAGGAAGCGUUUGCUGAAGAAGUCAAAGGCCACUGAGAUUGAGGAGGACGUUGAAUGUUUGGAAGGCAAAAGGCGCAUUCCAAGUGCCCAGUGCUCUGAUGUAACAGCACCAUCAGCUCCAAAACAUGAGAGCAAGGAGGGUAAAUCUGCCUCUGGCCAUGCCUCUGACUCUCCUUUUCAGGAGGGCAAAGAGUCCAUUUCAACCCUCACACAGUCAGAGAGCACCCCAAAGUCAUCUCCUCUGAGUGAGGGGGGUGUGUGUCUGCCCCAAGAGUCUGCUCCCACCCACACCCACCAGGAUCUAACAGCUGGAAGCGUGCUUAUCAAAAGGACAGCCCCAGCCCCACCUUGGAAAGACAAA
This 1539-nucleotide long non-coding RNA is filed under the name Zosterops lateralis melanops. RNAcentral's name for it is "lncRNA (ENSZLMG00000012116.1)". The record is from RNAcentral. Lineage: Eukaryota; Metazoa; Chordata; Aves; Passeriformes; Zosteropidae.